AGUGAACGCUGGCGGUAGGCCUAACACAUGCAAGUCGAACGGCAGCACAGUAAGAGCUUGCUCUUACGGGUGGCGAGUGGCGGACGGGUGAGGAAUACAUCGGAAUCUACUUUUUCGUGGGGGAUAACGUAGGGAAACUUACGCUAAUACCGCAUACGACCUACGGGUGAAAGCAGGGGAUCUUCGGACCUUGCGCGAUUGAAUGAGCCGAUGUCGGAUUAGCUAGUUGGCGGGGUAAAGGCCCACCAAGGCGACGAUCCGUAGCUGGUCUGAGAGGAUGGUCGGCCACACUAGAACUGAGACACGGUCCAGACUACUACGGGAGGCAGCAGUGGGGAAUAUUGGACAAUAGGCGCAAGCCUGAUCCAGCCAUACCGCGUGGGUGAAGAAGGCCUUCGGGUUGUAAAGCCCUUUUGUUGGGAAAGAAAAGCAGCAGGUUAAUACCCCGCUGUUCUGACGGUACCCAAAGAAUAAGCACCGGCUAACUUCGUG
RNAcentral lists this ribosomal RNA (492 nucleotides) under uncultured bacterium. RNAcentral's name for it is "partial 16S ribosomal RNA". It matches the Rfam family "Bacterial small subunit ribosomal RNA", at positions 29 to 507 of the family's 1533-position model. The record is from RNAcentral.